Molecule: ribosomal RNA, 186 nt
Filed under: uncultured Glomus
Lineage: Eukaryota; Fungi; Glomeromycota; Glomeromycetes; Glomerales; Glomeraceae
Description: partial 18S ribosomal RNA
Rfam family: Eukaryotic small subunit ribosomal RNA
Source: RNAcentral
AGCAGCCGCGGUAAUUCCAGCUCCAAUAGCGUAUAUUAAAGUUAGUUGCAGUUAAAAAGCUCGUAGUUGAAUUUCGAGACCGGUUUAUUGGUCGUGCUUUUGUACGUACUGGUAUUAUUGGUUUCUCCUUUCUGUACGAAUCUUAAAUGCCAUUAAUUUGGUGUUUUGGGGAAUCAGGACUGUUAC